CCAAGUGACAGAUAUUGUAAAAUCAGGCUAUGAGCUGGUGGUCCCAAAUGAAGGCAUGCCCAUCUCAAAGAAACCUGGCAAGAAAGAGAAUCUUAGAAUCAAGUUUGAUGUUAUCUGUCCAUCAAGGCUGACCACACAACAGAAGUGUGAUCUAAGAAGGAUUCAGAGUGAUGCUGAUUACUAAACAAAUAUUUUGAGUCUAAUAGUUGUAACUAUCCAUUAACCUUCUUUCACAUGAAAAUAAGUUUACACUGUAUAUAACUAAGUAAUUCUAAUAAUCUGGGGAAAAAAUGUAAAUUAUAUUAAACCCAAAAUGAUACAAUAAUAAACGGGGUAUACCCCGCAGUUAAAGAAAAUAAAAAAUCUCCUUGAUACAAGAUGCUAAAACAAAUGCAACAGGUGCACUUGUCUAUACAUAAGAAAUCCAAUGCUGAUGUUUGAUGGCUUGGGUAUAGGUAGAAGGUUUUGUAUCAAGGGAGAUAGAGAGGGAGUAUGCUUUGUGUUGCGGUGAAAAGGAAUCAUGCGAGAGGUGGGAACUGAUAGGAUAGGAACAUUUGGAUCACUAGUGGGAUUUGCAUGAACCUCUGUAGAAGAACCACCAUGGUUAUGUUGCGAGGCAUUGAUAAGUGUGUUUGUUCAGCACUGCUCCAAGAUGGAGCUCUGCUACCAUCAAAUAAUUUUGAAGGAAGUAAUUCUAAUAAUCUAUAUGAAGUCAGGGGUUGCUCCUGAGAUUUUUGAUGCCCACGAGCGAACCAAAAAAAAAUUAUGCUCUUAUAAUCAUUUAAAUAUUAUUCUUGUUUUUUUUUUCACAACUGAUAAAUAAUUUGUUCACAAUCAAGAUUAAAAAAAACAUUUUCAAUAAGAUUUUAACAUCUUCAAUUUUGAUAGAUGCAUAGAUGCAACUGUAACAUAAAUAAUUAAUAUUAUAUUAAAAUAUGUUUUUUAUUCUUAAGAAAUAGGAAACGUUCAUAUUUCAUAUUUGUAAAGAAUUUUGUUUAUUUUUUGUCCUCAUAAAAUUAUAAUAUGUCAAAUUUUGACCUAAAACGAGAUUCGGGUAAAUUCGAACCUGCGUUGGUAUUUUUUAAGAAUAGAAAAUGCAAUCUGUGGCAUUGUUUUUGAAAUUUUUGUCAAAUUUUUUACAAUUUAUGAUAUUUUUUAAACCCUAAAUUUAUGACCACAUUGGCAUUGUCUGAUUAUAACAUUACAUAGUUCUUAAGGCCCACAUUAGCAUUGAAACUUUAGAACCUCAUUGGCAUUGUCUGAUUAUAACAUUACAUAGUUCUUAAGGCCCACAUUAGCAUUGACACAUUAGAACCACAUUGGCACUGUCACAUUAUAACCUUACAUAUUGCUUAAGCCCACCACUGUAUGAAGUUUGUGCAUAUUACAAAUAUAACUAAAGAAAGACUAUAUCAGGAAAACCAACUUUACUUGCUGAUCAUGUAACUAGUUAAAAGAGUGUAGCUGCACAAACAUACCAGCUUGUUAGUUUCUUAGGUGACUUUAAAAUGAGCAUUCCAUUGAAGCUGUGGAGUUGAAAGCAAGGGUGUUGCCCUUGUUGGAAUUGGAUGACUCUUUUUUUGAUGUUGAAGAAUUGAAUGACUCUGAAAACCUUUUAGAAUACGAAAAAUUAUAGAUGAUGGGUGCCAUGUUGGUUCUUCUGGCGGGGAAUUAAUGAUAAACCAAGAAGCUAGAGGAGUCUGAGGUUUCUUAUUUGGUUU
RNAcentral lists this long non-coding RNA (1721 nucleotides) under Glycine max (soybean). Its description in RNAcentral is "long non-coding RNA (GMAX_LNC001127)". The record is from RNAcentral. Lineage: Eukaryota; Viridiplantae; Streptophyta; Magnoliopsida; Fabales; Fabaceae.